GAGAUGCUGGCCUAUUGCAGAUCGGACGUGGAUAUUCUUCGCCGCUGUUGUCUGGAGUUUCGAGCCCAGUUUUUGGAUGUGGCGGGUGUGGAUCCAUUCCAAUACGUGACCAUUGCGUCAGCCUGUAUGGCAACGUAUCGGAGUGGCCACAUUCAGCCCAACACGAUUGCCAUGGUGCCCACACACGGCUACGUCAACUCAACGAAUUACAGCCCUGAUUCGAUCCGGUGGUUGGACUUUGUUGCUGCUUCG
Stegodyphus dumicola is the source of this 252-nucleotide long non-coding RNA. The record is from RefSeq and is a predicted model, not a curated record. Lineage: Eukaryota; Metazoa; Arthropoda; Arachnida; Araneae; Eresidae.